RNAcentral lists this ribosomal RNA (382 nucleotides) under Salmonella enterica subsp. enterica serovar Newport. RNAcentral's name for it is "partial 23S ribosomal RNA". It matches the Rfam family "Bacterial large subunit ribosomal RNA", at positions 911 to 1290 of the family's 2925-position model. The record is from RNAcentral. RNAcentral also lists the same sequence under 1 other name. Lineage: Bacteria; Pseudomonadati; Pseudomonadota; Gammaproteobacteria; Enterobacterales; Enterobacteriaceae.
UGUUUCGGCUAGGGGGCCAUCCCGGCUUACCAACCCGAUGCAAACUGCGAAUACCGGAGAAUGUUAUCACGGGAGACACACGGCGGGUGCUAACGUCCGUCGUGAAGAGGGAAACAACCCAGACCGCCAGCUAAGGUCCCAAAGUCAUGGUUAAGUGGGAAACGAUGUGGGAAGGCCCAGACAGCCAGGAUGUUGGCUUAGAAGCAGCCAUCAUUUAAAGAAAGCGUAAUAGCUCACUGGUCGAGUCGGCCUGCGCGGAAGAUGUAACGGGGCUAAACCAUGCACCGAAGCUGCGGCAGCGACACUGUGUGUUGUUGGGUAGGGGAGCGUUCUGUAAGCCUGUGAAGGUGUGUCGUGAGGCAUGCUGGAGGUAUCAGAAGUG